Molecule: ribosomal RNA, 453 nt
Filed under: uncultured Porphyromonadaceae bacterium
Lineage: Bacteria; Pseudomonadati; Bacteroidota; Bacteroidia; Bacteroidales; Porphyromonadaceae
Description: partial 16S ribosomal RNA
Rfam family: Bacterial small subunit ribosomal RNA
Source: RNAcentral
ACGGAAGGCAGCAGUGAGGAAUAUUGGUCAAUGGACGGAAGUCUGAACCAGCCAAGUCGCGUGAAGGAUGAAGGUAUUAUGUAUUGUAAACUUCUUUAGCAGUGGAGUAAUAAGGGGAUCGUGAUCCCUGAUGCAAGUACACUGAGAAUAAGGAUCGGCUAACUCCGUGCCAGCAGCCGCGGUAAUACGGAGGAUCCGAGCGUUAUCCGGAUUUAUUGGGUUCAAAGGGUGCGCAGGCGGCUUUUUAAGUCAGUGGUUAAAUCGUGACGCUCAACGUCAUCACGCCAUUGAUACUGGAGAGCUUGAUUGCGGUCGAGGUUUGCGGAAUUCGUUGUGUAGCGGUGAAAUGCAUAGAUAUGACGAAGAACACCGAUUGCGUAGGCAGCAGACCAGGCCGUAAAUGACGCUCAUGCACGAAAGUGCGGGGAUCGAACAGGAUUAGAUACCCUGGUA